UUAAAAGCAAUGAAGAGCAAGAUUAGACAAUUAUUUCUUUCAGAGAAUUCGUGGUUGGUGUAAACGAAUAAAAAUGAUUAUCGAAAGUAGGCUCAGAGCUAUGAAUGCGAAUUUUGAGUGUUCAUUGGGUGCCCCCAUUAUCAAGGCCAGCGAAUCCGACUAUUGUCGUGCUCGCUAAGGUUGCACUCGUUGCAACAUCUCAAGGUGGUACCGUGCAUUGCUUUUGCGCCCUUCGA
RNAcentral lists this non-coding RNA (236 nucleotides) under Secundilactobacillus odoratitofui. Its description in RNAcentral is "Lactobacillus odoratitofui T-box sequence". It matches the Rfam family "T-box leader". Rfam says of the family: Uncharged tRNA acts as the effector for transcription antitermination of genes in the T-box leader family. T-boxes are found upstream of many aminoacyl-tRNA synthetase genes and some amino acid biosynthetic genes usually in Gram-positive bacteria. The record is from RNAcentral. Lineage: Bacteria; Bacillati; Bacillota; Bacilli; Lactobacillales; Lactobacillaceae.